GACGAACGCUGGCGGCGUGCUUAACACAUGCAAGUCGAACGGAAAGGCCCCUUUCGGGGGGUACUCGAGUGGCGAACGGGGGAGUAACACGCGAGUAACCCGUCCCUGACUUUGGGAUAACUUUAGGGAACUGGGGCUAAAACCGGAUAGGGGCUCCCGCUGCGCGGGGGGGGUGGGGAAGUUUCGGGGGGUGGGGGGGGGCUCGCGGCGCAUCAGGUUGUUGGUGGGGGAGUGGCUUAUCAAGGGUUUGUCGGGUAGCCGGCCUGGGAGGGUGACCGGCCACAUUGGGACUGAGAUUCGGGCCAGACUCCUACCGGGGGCAGGAGUGGGGAAUAAUGCACAAUGGGUGGAAGCCUGAUGCAGGAACGCCGUGUGCGGGGUGAAGGCCUUCGGGUUGUAAACCGCUUUCGCUCAGGACGGAGCUUUGUGUGACGGUAGUGGGUAAAGAAGCACCGGCUAACUACGUG
RNAcentral lists this ribosomal RNA (467 nucleotides) under uncultured bacterium. Its description in RNAcentral is "partial 16S ribosomal RNA". It matches the Rfam family "Bacterial small subunit ribosomal RNA", at positions 28 to 507 of the family's 1533-position model. The record is from RNAcentral.